AGAGGAAAAUAAGAACACAGGAUUUACAGGCAGCAAAGCUCCCCGUUAAGGAGAACGUACGAGUGAGGCAGGAAGGCUGGUAGGUGGGAACCAGAGGAGAGGGACCUGGGCCACCAGUGCAGAACAAUGAUGAUUGAUUGAUGAAUAAACUAUUAAAUCAGAGGAUUCUUUGUCUAGGACAGAAAGGAAGUUUUGAGAACCUUUGCGAGAUCAGUAUCUGCCUUCAUUUUAAUGUAAACAUCAAAGACAUUCCACUGUUGACAUGUUAAAGUAUUUGGAGGAUAAAUAACUGCCUGAACAGAAAAACAAGAUGUCUUGUCUUCUGGAUGAAUUUGUAAGAAGAGUUUAUUUCAAAUGAAAUAGAAUUCUCUGGUCAACAGUCUCAAAAUAGACAUAACUAAAGUGGAUUUAAUGCAAUGCCCAAACAAGAAGAUGUUUACCACAUGUGGAGAUGAGCAUGAAGAAUAAGCAUGAGUCAAGAAUGUCCCACCCCAGUGCCCCUUUGAAACAUUUUUAUGUGGUUCCGUGAAAUAGUGCAUAUUUUAAUAGUUGCCAUGAGGCCACACUGAGGUUUUUGUUCUUAGACAGUCAGACUCAAAACAUUUACUGUGGGCAUCGAGCGGGUUUUACCUACUCACUCCUCCGUCUUCUUUUAUCACGAAUCAGGUCUUGAUUUUCUUCUGGGCAUUGCCUCUCCCCAGGCCCUGCAGUCCAGUGAAAUGAUUUACAGUGUCCCACCUACUCUGAGAUAAGAUCUUCUCUGCCCUUAGGUUCUGGAAGAUUUAUAGCUCCCUGGAGAGAGCGGAGCUCCUUUUCUCUGGGCUCUCACGCUGAAGGAACCACCCAUGCCUGCAGCUCAUGGUUCUAACCCCAGGGCUCAUGGCAGUUCUUUGCAAAACGAUGCCAACACACAGAGAGAACUUGAGCUCUGGCGGCAUUUAGCAUCAUUAGAAGCUAGAUCAGCCCUCAAAGUUCCCAGUUCCUGCAGCCGAAACCUUCCCUUUUGCUGAAGCUACUUUGAGUUGUAUUUUUAUCAUUGUCCAUCAAAAGAAACACUUACUGCUUAUCCAAAAGAAGCCAGAGGUGAGAAUGACCAACUUGGUGCAAACGAAAGUAACUCAUCAACAGUUCUGAGUAAUAGAAAAUCCUAACAAAAAUCUCUUUUGGAUAAGUAGUAAGUGUUUGUUGGUUUGGGAUCCUAAAUUUAGACAGCUCAAAUAACUAACAUUUUCUUGUACCCUAGAGACAAGUGUUAAAUAAACUGACUGAUCCCAAGGAUUGUUCAAAGAUG
RNAcentral lists this long non-coding RNA (1291 nucleotides) under Sus scrofa (pig). RNAcentral describes it as "lncRNA (ENSSSCG00025031044.1)". Lineage: Eukaryota; Metazoa; Chordata; Mammalia; Artiodactyla; Suidae. The record is from RNAcentral.